UACGUAGGGUGCAAGCGUUGUCCGGAUUUACUGGGCGUAAAGAGCGCGUAGGCGGCUCGUUAAGUGUGAAGUGAAAUCUCUAGGGCUCAACCCAGAAACUGCUUUACAUACUGGCGAGCUGGAGUGAUGAAGAGGUUUGUGGAAUUCCUGGUGUAACGGUGAAAUGUGUUGAUAUCAGGAGGAACACCCAUGGCGAAGGCAGCAAACUGGUCAUCAACUGACGCUGAGGCGCGAAAGCCAGGGGAGCAAACGGG
Molecule: ribosomal RNA, 254 nt
Filed under: uncultured bacterium
Lineage: Bacteria
Description: partial 16S ribosomal RNA
Rfam family: Bacterial small subunit ribosomal RNA
Source: RNAcentral